AUUGAACGCUGGCGGCAUGCUUUACACAUGCAAGUCGAACGGUAACAGGCCGCAAGGUGCUGACGAGUGGCGAACGGGUGAGUAAUGCAUCGGAACGUGCCCAGUCGUGGGGGAUAACUACUCGAAAGAGUAGCUAAUACCGCAUACGAUCUAUGGAUGAAAGCGGGGGACCGUAAGGCCUCGCGCGAUUGGAGCGGCCGAUGUCAGAUUAGGUAGUUGGUGGGGUAAAGGCUCACCAAGCCAACGACCUGUAGCUGGGCUGAGAGGAGAACCAGCCACCUUGGGACUGAGACACGGCCCAGACUCCUACGGGAGGCAGCAGUGGGGAAUUUUGGACAAUGGGCGCAAGCCUGAUCCAGCAAUGCCGCGUGCAGGAAGAAGGCCUUCGGGUUGUAAACUGCUUUUGUACGGAACGAAACGGCUCUGGUUAAUACCCGGGGCUAAUGACGGUACCGUAAGAAUAAGCACCGGCUAACUACGUG
This 482-nucleotide ribosomal RNA is filed under the name uncultured bacterium. RNAcentral describes it as "partial 16S ribosomal RNA". It matches the Rfam family "Bacterial small subunit ribosomal RNA", at positions 30 to 507 of the family's 1533-position model. The record is from RNAcentral.